AUUUAUUGGUACCAUUGUGAGUGCUCUACUGUGAAUGAAUGCAGCUACUUAAAAUACUAUACUCUUGAAAUAUCCAUGUUUACCAUUGUGUUGGUGGUAAUGUAAAGUGUUGUGAAUAUCUGCCAAACUGAUCAUAUUCAUUAUUUCAAGUGUAUUGUAUAGAAUGCAUACUUAUGUUAAAUCCUAUCUUUUAUUGACAGAGCCCUCACAAAUAAACUGAUACCAGGAAUUAACAUACAGUAGAUGGUGAUGGUGGUGGUGGCAAGGUUGCCUUCACAAGGUGCCAAGUCACAAUCUCAGUGUGGAGCCAAAGGCUGCUAUUGCAAGUCAGAUGGGGGACGAUCGAUGUAAGGCAUCAGAAAGGUGGUGUACGUACAAAGGCUGGAGCUGCUGGAGACAGUGUUGCACUUAGAUACUUGAUUUACUGCCGAAGGUACCAUCAGAGCACCACCCUACCCCUGCAGGACCAGAAGAGGACGGACAGGGGGCCAACAUUUUUUAACACUCUGACCAUGGACUAUUUAAACCAUUGAGGUAACGCAGACGUCUGAUCCCACUUGGCUAAAACAGAAGACUGAGGAGGAGUUUCUUUCCUCAUGCCAUUCGCAUCCUGAGCACACAUACUGCAUUACAUGGACUUGCCAUACUGCACUUACACACUGCACUAUUUACCCCC
This is a long non-coding RNA of Sardina pilchardus (European sardine), 676 nucleotides long. RefSeq lists it as uncharacterized. The transcript has 3 exons. The record is from RefSeq and is a predicted model, not a curated record. NCBI's taxonomy places the organism in Eukaryota, Metazoa, Chordata, Actinopteri, Clupeiformes, Clupeidae.